Molecule: long non-coding RNA, 1785 nt
Organism: Pogona vitticeps (central bearded dragon)
Lineage: Eukaryota; Metazoa; Chordata; Lepidosauria; Squamata; Agamidae
Source: Ensembl
UAUUUCCAUAUUUGCAAUGAACUGUUUGUGCCCCUGGCUAAACUCUACUGAAUAAAUACCUCAAAGCUCUCAUAUUUGCUAGAGACAAAAAGAUGAAGAAAAAAAAGUUGAGGUGCCCUUUCUUUGGUCUCUAAAUAAGAAUCAUGGCCUAACCUGUGCCUGUGUUGACAAAAUGUCAGCCCACUGAAGAUACAUCUAUGUGAGUUACACAUUAAACUGACUCAAAUUUCCAUUUGCACGUUUCCCAAUAUUUUAUAGAUGUUAGGAGGAAAAUUCCAUUCAAGAUAUAAUCUUCCCUGUAGUAGCAGCUAAGCAUAGAACAGUACUUCACGUUCUAAGAUUAUUUUUCAUAAUGCAGGGAAAAGUCAAAGUAGCCAUCUUCCUUACUAGCAGUUUUCUGUUCUGUUCUACAAACAUUUGAAGGAUGAGAUCCUUUGAACAACUAAACAGUCUAAAGCAGAAAUAACCAACCUAGCAUUCUCCAGAUAUUUUGUAUGACAGCUCUUCUAGACCUCAGCCAAGAUGACUGGAACUGAGUGAAAACAUAUGGGAGGCCCCAGGUUGUUUACUGAAAAUUAUUGUUGUUAUUAUGUGCCAUCCAUUUGUUUCUUACUUAUGGAGUUAUCUAAGAUGUUCAAGUAAUGGCUUAUCAUUGCCACAGUCCAUUGAAUUUCUUUUCUUAGCAGACAUUUGAACCUAGAUCUCCUCUGUUGUAUCCAACCAUCUCUCCACUAUACUGCACUGGCUAAAAAAAAUAACAACAGCUGAGAUGAGUGAUCUCUUUCUUUCAAAAAAUAACUGCAAGAGUAAUACCUUUCCUGGUUUUUAAAGAAGGAAAAGACAAAGGAAAAAAGGGAAGGAUAUCCACUCUCCAACAUCCCUGAAGAAGACAACCCACUCCCCAACAUAUGGCCUCCAAAAGAGUUUUGCCUCUUCAAGACUCUCAAGAAAGGACAAGCCAUGAACAGAGACAGAUAAACAGGAGGCCCUCCCUUUCCUCAGAGGACAGUGGAGAAAAGACAGAACUGAAUAAAACAAUGGAUAUCAUCUUCAGGAAUAUCAAGAACGAGGGUUGUUUUCAAAAGCCUGAUACAAGGGGGAAAGACAAUAAUUUUCCCUUUUGUCUGUACACAUUAACCUUCUGAAAGUGCUUUUCUAAACUGUGAAUUUAUUACUCCUUUAAAAGCUUUCUGUUUUCAUUCCAAGACUGCAAAAGGGCAGGGGCCCAGGUGGAAGACGGAGCACUAAAAAAGCAGAGCUAAAAUACAAUUUUCCCUGCAACUUUACCUGCAUACCAAAUUGUCAGAGGUUACCAUCCCCCAGACGGCAAAGAAGAUUUUCCUGCAGUUGAGAGAAAAGGCCGUUUUCUUCAUUCUAACACCCCCCGUUUUGCUCCCUAUAUAAAAAGCCCAGUGUUAACAUACAUGUUAUGACAACAAGCGGAGUUAUUAAUGUAACUUCUCCUUUGACCUUUAGAAUAAUGAGAAGGAAGAAGAUAAAAGGAAAUUCUCCAUUACUUUCUGUAAACUUAUUUACGGGUUAAUUGUCAGAUAAUUUUUAUGAGUACAUUUUGGUACCUCCACAAUGACUUAAAUAUACAAGUGUGGCAAAUGUAUGCCUCUGCAUGUACACUUGUUAAGAAGCUGUAAUUAGCCAUGUAUCACCUUAUAAUAUAUGAAAUUAAGCUGCAAAGAAAGCCUAUGGCAUUGAAAUUGGACUGUAACACUGAUUAGUGCUUGAAAUGUAGUUAACAGAGCAAAAUAAAAAGUGCAUUUUCACAAUUCA